Non-coding RNA from Agrilus planipennis (emerald ash borer), 99 nucleotides. The record is from Rfam. NCBI's taxonomy places the organism in Eukaryota, Metazoa, Arthropoda, Insecta, Coleoptera, Buprestidae.
AGAAGGGUUUUAGUCGGUAGGUCGGAGGACUUCUUCCUCGGGAAUCCGACACUACCCAGUCGUACGGACGGCUGGGUGUCUUUUGAAGAUUUCCCUUCU